GACGAACCGUGCGAACGUUGUUCGGAAUCACUGGGCUUAAAGGGCGCGUAGGCGGCAAUCCAAGUCCGGGGUGAAAGCCCCCAGCUCAACUGGGGAAGUGCCUUGGAAACUGGAGUGCUGGAGGGAGGUAGGGGUCGAGGGAACUUCUGGUGGAGCGGUGAAAUGCGUUGAUAUCAGAAGGAACGCCGGUGGCGAAAGCGCUCGACUGGACCUUUUCUGACGCUGAGGCGCGAAAGCUAGGGGAGCAAACGGG
This 253-nucleotide ribosomal RNA is filed under the name uncultured bacterium. RNAcentral describes it as "partial 16S ribosomal RNA". It matches the Rfam family "Bacterial small subunit ribosomal RNA", at positions 524 to 776 of the family's 1533-position model. The record is from RNAcentral.